UAGGGAAUUUUUCACAAUGAGCGAAAGCUUGAUGGAGCAAUGCCGCGUGAACGAUGAAGGUCUUUAAGAUUGUAAAGUUCUUUUAUUUGGGAAGAAUGACUUUAGCAGGUAAUGGCUAGAGUUUGACUGUACCAUUUUGAAUAAGUGACGACUAACUAUGUGCCAGCAGUCGCGGUAAUACAUAGGUCGCAAGCGUUAUCCGGAUUUAUUGGGCGUAAAGCAAGCGCAGGCGGAUUGAAAAGUCUGGUGUUAAAGGCAGCUGCUUAACAGUUGUAUGCAUUGGAAACUAUUAAUCUAGAGUGUGGUAGGGAGUUUUGGAAUUUCAUGUGGAGCGGUGAAAUGCGUAGAUAUAUGAAGGAACACCAGUGGCGAAGGCGAAAACUUAGGCCAUUACUGACGCUUAGGCUUGAAAGUGUGGGGAGCGAAUAGGAUUAGAUACCCUAGUAGUCCACACCGUAAACGAUAGAUACUAGCUGUCGGGGCGAUCCCCUCGGUAGUGAAGUUAACACAUUAAGUAUCUCGCCUGGGUAGUACAUUCGCAAGAAUG
This 547-nucleotide ribosomal RNA is filed under the name uncultured bacterium. RNAcentral's name for it is "bacterial SSU rRNA". It matches the Rfam family "Bacterial small subunit ribosomal RNA", at positions 355 to 896 of the family's 1533-position model. The record is from RNAcentral.